Molecule: transfer RNA, 70 nt
Filed under: Dipodomys ordii (Ord's kangaroo rat)
Lineage: Eukaryota; Metazoa; Chordata; Mammalia; Rodentia; Heteromyidae
Rfam family: tRNA
About the family: Transfer RNA (tRNA) molecules are approximately 80 nucleotides in length.
Source: Rfam by way of RNAcentral
GGGAAUGUGGCUUGAUGGUAGAGUGCUUGCCUUACAUGCAUGAAGCCCUGGGUUCUAUUCCCCAGUACUA